This is a long non-coding RNA of Papaver somniferum (opium poppy), 522 nucleotides long. RefSeq lists it as uncharacterized. The record is from RefSeq and is a predicted model, not a curated record. The transcript is spliced from 4 exons. NCBI's taxonomy places the organism in Eukaryota, Viridiplantae, Streptophyta, Magnoliopsida, Ranunculales, Papaveraceae.
CCUCUUCUUCAUCCUCUUAAUUUUGAUAUUUUCUUCUCAUUCUAGUUUCGGAUCGAAAUGGCAAUCAGCUGCAAGGUGAAGAUUAUAGCCGUCUUGCUUUUCGCAUUGUUUGCCAUCUCCAUGCUCGAAUCCACUCAGGUUUCGGCAGUAGGACUAGGGGAUCUGCAAAACCAGAGCAAUGCAGGUGGAGAUGUGCAACGAGGUGUAGUAAGACGAAGCACCGUUUCGAUUUUUGCAAUGCAGGCUGCAUGAGUUGCUGCAGUUCAUGUAAGUGUGUGCCCCGAGGUACUUCUGGUUACCGAAGGGUCUGUCCUUGCUACGACACCAAGAAGACUAAAAUGGGAGGACCAAAAUGCCCUUGAUUAAUGCUAGUCUUUAUGAAAUAUGAGGGCUAAUGCGUUUUUUUGUUCAUUAAGUGGUCAUUUUUUAUCACUAUUGAUUUAGUUUUGCAGCUUUGUAAUUUUUUUUGGCUUUGUUUGAUCAUCGAGUUGGAAAGAUCUUUACUUGUUGUAAUCGGGUCAU